Molecule: long non-coding RNA, 1382 nt
Organism: Canis lupus familiaris (dog)
Lineage: Eukaryota; Metazoa; Chordata; Mammalia; Carnivora; Canidae
Exons: 3
Source: RefSeq, a predicted model, not a curated record
AAUGCUUAGAUUCUUAUCACACAUCUUAGCAGGAUUCAACUACCAGCAUUUUAGAAAAUAGUCCCAAAGCCUUCAUAUGAUGCCUCCAGAAACAAGGGCUAAGGAUACUUCUAUCUGUUGACCAGGAGUUAGUAGCACUGCAGUAUAUAUUAAAGCAUUAAUUUCAAGAUUGCCAAUUUACUUGCUUCAUUAUUUCUGAAUACUGAAAUUAAAAAGGUUGAGGACAACAUCAAAAUGUUUCCACACAGCCUGCAUAACUUGAAGAGGUAUUAAUAAGCUCAGAGUUAGCCUGACAUAAUCAAAUUGGAUUUGGUUUUCCACAUCAGCUAACUGGAGUAGAUGGUGCUUGCUUUGCAACAGUAUCACAUGAAAUGUGCCCAGACUCAACCAUCCCUGGAACAGAAUGCUGAUGACUACUGACUUCAUAGGAGUGCUGAGAUGUGGGCCUCGGUGGUGGAAGUUUACCAGCAGCCCCACGAUGCAGGAACUCCCUACUCUGCACUGACAGGGCCAAUGGUGGUACAAAAACCAUCCAUGACUCGCUGACAAUGUGGAUGCCACUGAAUGUCAACUGUCUCCCCAAACCCUCAGUGAGCCAAACCGAGUGUAUGGAAAAGUUCUGGGGUGACUCAGGACCACCAGCUAAUAAACUGUCACUUGGGUCCUGGGAUCUGGGAAGAUGAAUGACAACCUUCCUUUCUUUCUAGAGAAGCUCCCCAGAACAGCUUCUGGCAGCAUUUACUAUUUAUGGCCACAUUGGAGCUAAUAUGAAAGAAUAUGGAAAGAAAAAAAUAAUAAGUUCCAGAGUAAAAAUGGAAACCAAUAUUCAGGGUUGCAGGGGAGUGGACAUGGAAUAAAUAGAUGUCUGAACUUGAGAUCUAGCUGAGGAAUUAGCGUGAUGUGAACUAUUAAAAGAGCCAAGAAAAAGGGAUACAAAUGGUGAAUGCUUUGGGGAAGAAACAAGGUAAGGUAUUAGUGGAUUUAACAGCAAAACAAAUUAGCUCAACAGACAAGCUUCUUUUGAGCAAAUAAAGUCCAGAACCUAGCAUCGACUAGAUAAUCUUUUCAGGGAAUGGUUUUCAAGCCUUCCCCACCAGGGAACAAAAACCUCCCAAGAAUAAUUUAGAAAGCACAUAUUUUAUGAGACUUGGAUUUGCAAAAUGUUUGUUCUGCGGUUCCUUUGCAAAAUGGAAGUAGGAAUAUGGGACCCAAUUGGAAAAGAUUCAUCUAAGGCCCUGAGGCUCUAAGAUGCCAUGUGCUGAGCUACCGACUUCAUAUCUCCGGAGAUCACUAGUGUAAUUUUGGAAAGGAUUCAAUCUCAUCUACCAAGAAAAAAAAAAAAAAAAAAAAAAAAAUCCUCAUGUGAAACAAAACACAACUAC